CAAAAACAAAGCUAGUUCAGAACUCCAACAAAACCCAAACUAUCAAACCGCAGCAGUCAAUAAGAUGUAAGCAUUACCAUGCAGCACUAACCAAACUAAAAAGUGACUACAAAACAGCCCUUAAAAUACCUGCAGCCACUAGUAGCUAGCUAAUAUUAGCUCAGAGAUGUCGGAAAGCGUCUGGACAGCAAAACGAGCAACUAAUACAUAAAUACAGAAUGUUACCAGACUGUUUAAAAAACGGCUCUACUUACCUUGGCGAGGUGAAGGUGACCUAAGGCCAUUCUAAUAGAUUGACACCGACAGCAGGCUGACAGUGUUUCUGCACGGAUCCUCCACUUGUAUGUUGGUGAGCAGUGCUUUGCCAACUGGAAGCAAAGAAGAUGACCCCACACACCACGCAAUCAAUAAGUCUUCAGGGACAGCAGUGUGUUUAUGA
Long non-coding RNA from Oreochromis niloticus (Nile tilapia), 439 nucleotides. NCBI's taxonomy places the organism in Eukaryota, Metazoa, Chordata, Actinopteri, Cichliformes, Cichlidae. The record is from Ensembl.